GACGAACGCUGGCGGCGUGCUUAACACAUGCAAGUCGAACGGAAAGGCCCUGCUUUUGUGGGGUGCUCGAGUGGCGAACGGGUGAGUAACACGUGAGUAACCUGCCCUUGACUGUGGGAUAACUUCAGGAAACUGGGGCUAAUACCGGAUAGGAGCUCCUGCUGCAUGGUGGGGGUUGGAAAGUUUCGGCGGUUGGGGAUGGACUCGCGGCUUAUCAGCUGGUUGGGGGGGUAGUGGCUUACCAAGGCUUUGACGGGUAGCCGGCCUGGGAGGGUGACCGGCCACAUUGGGACUGGGAUACGGCCCAGCCCCCUACGGGAGGCAGCAGUGGGGAAUAUUGCACAAUGGGCGGAACCCUGAUGCAGCACCGCCGCGUGCGGGAUGACGGCCUUCGGUUUGUAAACCGCUUUCGCCUGUGCCGAACCGUGAGUGACGGUAAUUGGUAAAGAAGCACCGGCUAACUACGUG
RNAcentral lists this ribosomal RNA (468 nucleotides) under uncultured bacterium. RNAcentral's name for it is "partial 16S ribosomal RNA". It matches the Rfam family "Bacterial small subunit ribosomal RNA", at positions 28 to 507 of the family's 1533-position model. The record is from RNAcentral.